AGAUUAAAUUUUAUUUUUUAUCAAAUUUUUCAUUAUUUUUAUUUUAUUAGUUGUAUAAAUAUAUGUUCAAAGUUUUAAAGUAUCGACGUGAUAUUAUGAGCAAUGGCAAAGUACAACAUGAAUAUCAACACGAUACGUGUACGUCGAUAAUUGAGGCGCCGAAUACAUUAAAAGGUCUGCUACCUGUGUCGUCGAUGCAGCUAACCAUCGAGCUUGCGUGCACGCGUUAAAAUCCUUGGAUAAUUUUACGUUGGAUCCGCGUUGUAAAUGACUAUAACUAUAAUCGUCACACAGUGUGAUUUUACAUAAUGGAUUAUAUCGUCCCGUAAGUAAUACGAUUUUUCAUGAAGUUGAAUUUAAAACAAUGAUAUCGAAUACCAUAGGGGUUUUAU
Molecule: long non-coding RNA, 392 nt
Organism: Apis florea (little honeybee)
Lineage: Eukaryota; Metazoa; Arthropoda; Insecta; Hymenoptera; Apidae
Source: RefSeq, a predicted model, not a curated record